Molecule: ribosomal RNA, 462 nt
Filed under: uncultured bacterium
Lineage: Bacteria
Description: bacterial SSU rRNA
Rfam family: Bacterial small subunit ribosomal RNA
Source: RNAcentral
CCUACGGGGGGUAGCAGUGGGGAAUAUUGCACAAUGGGCGCAAGCCUGAUGCAGCGACGCGUGAGCGAAGAAGGUCUUCGGAUCGUAAAGCUCUGUUGUUAGGGAAGAACAAGUACGGGAGGAAAUGACCGUACCUUGACGGUACCUAACGAGGAAGCCACGGCUAGCUACGUGCCAGCAGUCGCGGUAAUACGUAGGUGGCAAGCGUUGUCCGGAAUUAUUGGGCGUAAAGCGCGCGCAGGCGGUCUUUUAAGUCUGAUGUGAAAUCUUGCGGCUCAACCGCAAGCGGUCAUUGGAAACUGGGAGACGUGAGUGCAGAAGAGGAAAGCGGAAGUCCACGUGUAGCGGUGAAAUGCGUAGAGAUGUGGAGGAACACCAGUGGCGAAGGCGGCUUUCUGGUCUGUAACUGACGCUGAGGCGCGAAAGCGUGGGGAGCAAACAGGAUUAGAUACCCCUGUAGUC